GGUUCGAUGGCGUAGUUGGUUAUCGCAUCUGUCUAACAUUCAACCUCAGAUUGUUACAUGCUACACAGAAGGUCCUCAGUUCGAGCCUGGGUCGAAUCA
Gymnopus androsaceus JB14 is the source of this 99-nucleotide non-coding RNA. The record is from the annotation of a GenBank genome assembly. Lineage: Eukaryota; Fungi; Basidiomycota; Agaricomycetes; Agaricales; Omphalotaceae.